CAACCCUUCAAACUGGGUUUGCCUACACCGCCACUGAUCUUCAUCUCCGCCGACGCUGAUCAUCGUUUCUUUAAUCGGACGAUUCCAAAAACCGGGUACACAUGCACCCACCCUUUUACAACCGAUAACCAUCGCUUGCCCCAAAUCCAGGUACGACGAUAAACAUCACAUCCAGAUCCGGCGAAAACCAUCUCGAAAUCGAUAGCGGCAACUAAGGUAAUCCCUUUCUUUCCUGAAGCGCAGCAGGUACCGACAUCGUCUCCCACAUCGGUUAACCACCAUCGUCACCACAAUCACCGUCGCUCGCUACGUGUAAAACCCUAGCCUUGCCCAGCACCUGCCCUAAUCGAACACUAGGGCGUCGGAAUCAUCAUCACCCAAUCGGGUAUAACAACAACAGGAACCUGCUGUUGGAAUGCACCAAAUUUACAGAUUCUAGGUCUAAGCAUUUGCAUGAGGGAAAGACGGAGUUUUUGGCUGAGUUGUCGAUUAUGGCAUGUGAUAAGAAUCUUGUCCUACUCCAAGGAUGGUGUGUCGAAAAAGGCAAGUAUAUGUCGUAUGGGAGUAUUGAUUAAGUGGUGUUGUAUCGAGAGUCUGGACAUUGGUGGUUCUUGAAAUGGAACCAUAGGUAUAAUAUUGAGGUUAGGUUGGCUUCGGUUUUGGCGUACCUUCAUCAGUAGUGCGAUCAAAAAGUGAUCCAUCGCGAUAGUAAAUCGAGUAAUAUGAUGCUAAUUUUAAUUCUCGGUUAGGUGAUUUCGGGCUGGCCUAGAUCAUGGACCAUGAUAAAAGCAUGGUCUCUACACUAAUUGCGGGGACGAUGGGUUAUUUAGUGCCCGAGUAUCUUCAAUACGGGAGAGCUACUGAUGAAACCAAUGUUAUCAGCGCUACAGUGUGGUGCAUCUAGAACUCUGUUGUGCGAGGAGACCAGUUGAGAGGGAGCCAGGGGGUCAUAAAAUGAUCAAUUUAGUGGCUUGGGUGUAGGAGUUGCACUCCAAAAGCGCCAUUUGUGACCACUGACCCGGUUGACAAGCCGUUGAACAAAGAGUUUGAUCCGAAUGUGAGAGUUUCAUUUUCUGAUCCGGUGGCUGACACUCUUUGGAGAUUAUUUCUGAGCUACCUACAAAAGAUCCUUAUGCUUUUGCUAUUGCUUUAGGAACUCCAAAGGAUUUUUUGCAUUGCUUGACGUGCUUGCUUCAGCGGGUCUGGCUAGAUUGUGCCACGCAAUAUCUAGAGCUAAGUAACGGGAUGGCGUGUGUUGAUAUUGUAGGUACUUGAACUUUAUGGUGUACAAAAUAGCAUCUGAUUUGGGUCAAAUCGAUACAGGUAAGAAAAUAAGAAAAGCCACUGUAAAACAAAAUUCCACAAUACUUGGUAUAUAUUGUUGUUUGUUUCUGUCUUUCGAAGUUAUCACUGGCUGUAUGCGAAACUGUUAGUUAUCUGUACCAGCCACUGGCGAU
Molecule: long non-coding RNA, 1457 nt
Organism: Helianthus annuus (common sunflower)
Lineage: Eukaryota; Viridiplantae; Streptophyta; Magnoliopsida; Asterales; Asteraceae
Exons: 5
Source: RefSeq, a predicted model, not a curated record